UUUUACUUGAAGACAACUAAA
This 21-nucleotide non-coding RNA is filed under the name Caenorhabditis elegans. Lineage: Eukaryota; Metazoa; Nematoda; Chromadorea; Rhabditida; Rhabditidae. The record is from RNAcentral.